GACUAGCCAAGCAACAUCCCGGUGAAGCACUGAGGCUCUCUGUGCUGGAUGAGGGGUGCGAGAGGAUCCCUGCUGUCUGCUGGAGGAGUGGCCAUCACAGAGGUAAGUCAGGAGUACCUUGUAUCUUGAUUAGAAAACACUUUCUGCUCCUUCUUGGCCAGCACUCGACUUCCAUCCAUCUGCCUCCACAUCAGAAAUCCUCCUGACUUCUCAUCCUACUGAAGAGAGAAAAGAUCUUGAUGCCUCUUUUCUUUAUGGAGGCAAUACAGC
Molecule: long non-coding RNA, 270 nt
Filed under: Gallus gallus (chicken)
Lineage: Eukaryota; Metazoa; Chordata; Aves; Galliformes; Phasianidae
Source: RNAcentral